AGAGUUUGAUUCUGGCUCAGGAUGAACGCUAGCUACAGGCUUAACACAUGCAAGUCGAGGGGCAGCAUGAAACUUAGCUUGCUAAGUUCGAUGGCGACCGGCGCACGGGUGAGUAACACGUAUCCAACCUACCGUUUACUAUGGGAUAGCCUUCUGAAAAAGGAGAUUAAUACCGUAUGGCAUUCUAAAGUUUCAUGACAUUAGAAUUAAAGGUUUACCGGUAAUCGAUGGGGAUGCGUUCCAUUAGAUAGUAGGCGGGGUAACGGCCCACCUAGUCAGCGAUGGAUAGGGGUUCUGAGAGGAAGGUCCCCCACAUUGGAACUGAGACACGGUCCAAACUCUUACGGGAGGCAGCAGUGAGGAAUAUUGGUCAAUGGGCGAGAGCCUGAACCAGCCAAGUAAGCGUGAAGGAUGACUGCCCUAUGGGUUGUAAACUUCUUUUAUAAAGGAAUAAAGUGGUCCACGUGUGGAUUUUUGUAUGUACUUUAUGAAUAAGGAUCGGCUAACUCCGUGCCAGCCGCAGC
This 524-nucleotide ribosomal RNA is filed under the name uncultured bacterium. RNAcentral describes it as "bacterial SSU rRNA". It matches the Rfam family "Bacterial small subunit ribosomal RNA", at positions 8 to 518 of the family's 1533-position model. The record is from RNAcentral.